ACCGAGUCGAUAAUCGGCCGUUGGACAGUCUGGCGAGCCGGAUAAGCGUGACUAGAGUCUUUCAAAAUCAGAGGAAAAUCUUUCAAACUGACCUUUUUGGAUCUGAAAUAAAGACAGAUUCAGCAG
Long non-coding RNA from Etheostoma cragini (Arkansas darter), 126 nucleotides. RefSeq lists it as uncharacterized. Lineage: Eukaryota; Metazoa; Chordata; Actinopteri; Perciformes; Percidae. The record is from RefSeq and is a predicted model, not a curated record. The transcript is spliced from 2 exons.